CACCAUGUUGGCCAGGCUGGUCUCAAACUCCUGACCUCAGGUGGUCCACCCACCACAGCCUCCCAAAGUGCUGGGAUUACAGGUGUGAGCCAUCACGCCCGGCCAGUUUUACACUUUGGAAAGAUAGGUAUUAAGGGCAAAUUAGUAAGGAGCAUAGUGCUAACUAAUGAUCAUGUUAGUAGUGGGCGGCAAAAGCUAAACAUAAUCAAAACUGAUCUUGUUCAUUGAUGUUUAGGUUUAAAUACUACAUUUAUAGUUUCAAAAAUACUUUUAUUGCUGAAAUGACUACAGAAAAAAGAACUCUUGUCAAUCUAAAACUAUUAUUUGAAUAUUCACUUUAGGCCACACAGUAACAGAAGAAAAUGCAAAGAAGAAAGAUGUGACUAUUAUUGUGGAAUAUUCUUAUAUGAAAGCAGAAAAUGCUGUAACAUCUGAGUUAGUAAAAACAUCAUCACUUUCAACAGCAACCCCCAAAUCAGGGUAACGAGAAAGUAUUUUCAGCAUGAUAAAAGGACAAGUUUAUAUGGUAUAACAUGCUCCCUAAUACUCUGAAUUGCAAAGUCAUUGCAAAAUGAAAGAAAGUUUUCUUACAUCUGGAAUAUUUGUCAUCAAUAAAUAUUGGAUAAGGAAAUUAAUGCUUUGUGUGUUUUAAGAUUCUAUUUCAAGAAUGAUUAUUUCAGUAUUAAGUAUUUGUAGAAUUGUCUUUCAAAACUUAAAAAGUUUUUUUUUUGACAUUUGUUUUGUGCUAGUGUGCCCUUCUUUUAAUGUUUUCCAAGAUGAAAUGGCUAUAUUAAAUAGAAAUGAUUUCACAAUAAUGUUAUCAUGUAAUAUAAUCAUGUAUUUAUGUUCUAUCUUUUAAAACAAAAAAACUCCUAAAACUUAUAGUACCACCAUAUUACAGAAAAAUGAUUCAUUCUUUGUUAUAUCACUCAUUAUGUUUAAAAUGCAAACUUAUUAAAAAUACAGAGUAAUUUAUGUUUUAGGGCAGGUGUAUUCAAUCUUUUGGUUUUCCUGGGCAUAUCAUAUGGGAAGAAGAAGAAUUGUAUUGGGCCACAAAUAAAAUACGCUAGCAUUAACGAUAGCUGAUGAGCUCGAAAAUAAAAAAUUGUGAAAGAAGUUAUAAUAUUUUAAAGUUUAUGAAUUUGUGUUAGUCUACAUUCAAAGCUGUCCUCGGCCACAUGUGGCCUUUGGCCGAGGAUUGGACAACCUUGAUUUAGAGAAUUCUCAGGAAUUCUAGUUUCUUGUUCCUGAAUCUUGAGGUUAAUCUGUUGAGUUUU
This is a long non-coding RNA of Sapajus apella (tufted capuchin), 1277 nucleotides long. RefSeq lists it as uncharacterized. Lineage: Eukaryota; Metazoa; Chordata; Mammalia; Primates; Cebidae. The transcript is spliced from 2 exons. The record is from RefSeq and is a predicted model, not a curated record.